Molecule: ribosomal RNA, 301 nt
Filed under: uncultured bacterium
Lineage: Bacteria
Description: partial 16S ribosomal RNA
Rfam family: Bacterial small subunit ribosomal RNA
Source: RNAcentral
CAGUAGCCGCGGUAAUACGGAGGGUGCAAGCGUUAAUCGGAAUUACUGGGCGUAAAGCGCACGCAGGCGGUCUGACAAGUCAGAUGUGAAAUCCCCGGGCUUAACCUGGGAACUGCAUUUGAAACUGUCAGGCUGGAGUCUUGUAGAGGGGGGUGGAAUUCCAGGUGUAGCGGUGAAAUGCGUAGAGAUCUGGAGGAAUACCGGUGGCGAAGGCGGCCCCCUGAACAAAGACUGACGCUCAGGUGCGAAAGCGUGGGGAGCAAACAGGAUUAGAUACCCCGGUAGUCCCUGUCUCUUAUAC